GCUGACAGGCUGGUGCACAGGUUUCAGAGCUAUGCUGGAAACAGCAUAGCAAGUUGAAAUAAGGCUAGUCCGUUAUCAACUUGAAAAAGUGGCACCGAGUCGGUGCUUUUUUU
Molecule: small RNA, 113 nt
Filed under: Vector pAAVsc_gSerpina1a
Also listed under: 1 other name
Description: Serpina1a-gRNA4
Rfam family: Trans-activating crRNA (bases 22-113)
About the family: RNA-guided Streptococcus pyogenes Cas9 (SpCas9) is a sequence-specific DNA endonuclease, the Trans-activating CRISPR RNA form an hybrid with the crRNA (crRNA/tracrRNA).
Source: RNAcentral